GUAUUUCAUUUAUGUGCCCAAAAAUCACCAUUUUUUGGGCUUGCAAUGAUAAGACCUGCACGCACUAACAAAACUAGCACAUAUUCCUUUACGUAUUUGUUCAUGCAAAGUAACACAACAUUUUGUAUGAACAGAAAAGGAAUAGGCAAGAUAAAAAGGAUGACCCUGUCUCAUCCAGAUCUAGGUACUUGGGGAAAUCCAAAAAGAAAGCAACCACUUAAAAUACAUAAAUAGAAAAUACAAGGAUAAAAGAACAAGGUUCAUUUUCAAAUCACAGUCACAUUUGAUUAUGCUAUGUUUUCCGCUCAAACACACAUCAAAAAAUUCACGCAGAAAGACAUUGCUAUUUACUAAUCACUAAUACAUACAUCAGCUUAGUGCAGACAAUAAAACAAUGGCAAUACAUCAGCUUAGUGCAGACAAUAAAACAAUGGCAAUAACAACAAUAUCUUGGUAGAGAAUAACAGCAAAGCACAUUGUCAUUAAUCAAUAAUGAAAAGGAUCAAGGAUGUAAAUGGCAAAAGAACAAUGCAAGAGGAAUCAAAAUGAGAAGAAACCUAUCUUCC
This 566-nucleotide long non-coding RNA is filed under the name Manihot esculenta (cassava). RNAcentral describes it as "long non-coding RNA (MESC_LNC005776)". Lineage: Eukaryota; Viridiplantae; Streptophyta; Magnoliopsida; Malpighiales; Euphorbiaceae. The record is from RNAcentral.